Molecule: long non-coding RNA, 1068 nt
Organism: Numida meleagris (helmeted guineafowl)
Lineage: Eukaryota; Metazoa; Chordata; Aves; Galliformes; Numididae
Source: Ensembl
AUGACAUCCUGGUCACCAAAUUGGAGAAAAAAUGGAUUUGAUGGAUGGACCACUCGCCGGGCAAGCAAUUGGCUGGAUGAUGGCACUCAGGGAGUUGCGGUCAACGGCUCAGCGUCCAAGUGGACAAGGGGCAUUCCUCAGGGAUCAGUACUGGGACUGGUGUUAUUUAACAUCUUUGCAGGUGAUGUGGACAGCGGGAUUGAGCGAGCCAUCACCAAGUAUGCAGACGACACCAAGCUGAGUGGUGCAGUUCACACGCUAGAGGGAAGGGAUGCUAUCCAGAGGGACCUGGGCAGGCUUGAGAGUUGGGCCCAUGCCAGCCUCAUGAAGUUCAGCAAGGCCAAGUGCAAGGCCCUGUGCCUGGGCUGGGGCAACCCCAAGCACAGAUGCAGGUUGGGCGGAGAAUGGCUUGAAAGCAGCUCUGAGGAGAAGGAUUUGGGGGUGUCGGUUGAUGAAAGACUCAACAUGAGCCGGCAGUGGGCACUUGCAGCCCAGAAGCACAACCGUACCCUGGGUUGCAACAAGAGAAACAUGACCAGCAGGUCGAGGGAGGUGGCUCUGCCCCUCUGCUCUGCUCUCGUGAGACCCCACCUGGAGUACUGUGUCCAGUUCUGGGGCCCCCAGCACAAGGAGGACAUUGAGUUGUUGGAGCGGGUCCAGAGGAGGGCCACAAAGACAAUCAGAGGGCUGAAGCACCUCCCCUGCAAGGAUAGGCUGAGAGAGUUGGGGCUGUUCAGCCUGGAGAAAAGAAGGCUCCGGGAAGACCUUGUAGUGGCCUUCCAGUACCUGGUAAGGGCCUACAGAAAAGCUGGGGAGGGACUUUUUAGAAAGGCAUGUAGCGACAGGACAAGGGGACAUGGUUUUAAAUUGGAAGAGGGUAGAUUUAGACUAGAGAUUAGAAAGAAAUUCUUUACUGUGAGGGUGGUGAGACACGGGAACUGGUUGCCCAGGCGAGGUUGUGGAUGCCCCCUCCCUGGAAGUAUUCAAGGCCAGACUGGGUGGGGCUUUGAGCCACCUGGUCUAGUGGGAGAUGUCCCUGCCUAUAGCAGGGGGGUUGGAACUAGAUGA